This 298-nucleotide unclassified non-coding RNA is filed under the name Hevea brasiliensis (rubber tree). The record is from RNAcentral. Lineage: Eukaryota; Viridiplantae; Streptophyta; Magnoliopsida; Malpighiales; Euphorbiaceae.
GUUUUGAAGGGAAUGCACUGGUGUACGAUUCAUUCAUUGGGGCAUAUUGUGAGGAGAAGCGGAUAGAUGAAGCGAUUAAGUUGAUGGACGAAAUGGAGUGUUUGAAUAUGAAACCAUUUAGUGAAACAUUUAAUCACCUGAUUAAGGUUUGUUCAGAAGUGGGAAGAUUAGAAGAAAGCUUGAAAAUUUGUGAUAAAAUGAUAGGAAAUGGGCUCCUUCCUAGUUGUUUAUCUUUUAAUGCGCUUGUUGCCAAGCUUUCUGAAAAUGGAAGUGCAAAGUGUGCUAAUAAGCUAUUGAC